Molecule: ribosomal RNA, 252 nt
Filed under: uncultured bacterium
Lineage: Bacteria
Description: partial 16S ribosomal RNA
Rfam family: Bacterial small subunit ribosomal RNA
Source: RNAcentral
UACGGAGGAUGCGAGCGUUAUCCGGAUUUAUUGGGUUUAAAGGGUGCGUAGGCGGAUCGUUAAGUCAGUGGUCAAAUUGAGGGGCUCAACCCCUUCCCGCCAUUGAAACUGGCGAUCUUGAGUGGAAGAGAAGUAUGCGGAAUGCGUGGUGUAGCGGUGAAAUGCAUAGAUAUCACGCAGAACCCCGAUUGCGAAGGCAGCAUGCCGGCUUCCUACUGACGCUGAAGCACGAAGGCGUGGGGAUCGAACAGG